Molecule: ribosomal RNA, 548 nt
Filed under: Debaryomyces mycophilus
Lineage: Eukaryota; Fungi; Ascomycota; Pichiomycetes; Serinales; Debaryomycetaceae
Description: partial large subunit ribosomal RNA
Rfam family: Eukaryotic large subunit ribosomal RNA
Source: RNAcentral
CGAGUGAAGCGGCAAAAGCUCAAAUUUGAAAUCUGGCCUCUUCGGUGUCCGAGUUGUAAUUUGAAGAAGGUAACUUUGGAGUUGGUUCUUGUCUAUGUUCCUUGGAACAGGACGUCACAGAGGGUGAGAAUCCCGUGGGAUGAGAUGCCCAGUUCUUUGUAAAGUGCUUUCGAAGAGUCGAGUUGUUUGGGAAUGCAGCUCUAAGUGGGUGGUAAAUUCCAUCUAAAGCUAAAUAUUGGCGAGAGACCGAUCGCGAACAAGUACAGUGAUGGAAAGAUGAAAAGAACUUUGAAAAGAGAGUGAAAAAGUACGUGAAAUUGUUGAAAGGGAAGGGCAUGUGAUCAGACUUGGUGUUUUGCUCCCCUUUCCUUCGGUGGGCAGUUCUCAUUACUUUUUCGGGCCACCCCCGGAAUGUAUGGCGGCAUGAUGACAGUGGAAUGUGGCGUUAUAUCCCGGCAAUGUUGUACUGAGGGUUGAUACUGCCCUGCUAGAUCUGGGACUGAUGCUUUUACGUCGGCGCUGCUGCAACGGUGUUCAACGCCCCCCAU